RNAcentral lists this ribosomal RNA (486 nucleotides) under uncultured bacterium. RNAcentral describes it as "partial 16S ribosomal RNA". It matches the Rfam family "Bacterial small subunit ribosomal RNA", at positions 30 to 507 of the family's 1533-position model. The record is from RNAcentral.
AUUGAACGCUGGCGGCAUGCCUUACACAUGCAAGUCGAACGGCAGCACGGGUGCUUGCACCUGGUGGCGAGUGGCGCACGGGUGAGUAAUACAUCGGAACAUGUCCUGUAGUGGGGGAUAGCCCGGCGAAAGCCGCAUUAAUACCGCAUACGAUCCACGGAUGAAAGCGGGGGCCCUUCGGGCCUCGCGCUAUAGGGUUGGCCGAUGGCUGAUUAGCUAGUUGGUGGGGUAAAGGCCUACCAAGGCGACGAUCAGUAGCUGGUCUGAGAGGACGACCAGCCACACUGGGACUGAGACACGGCCCAGACUCCUACGGGAGGCAGCAGUGGGGAAUUUUGGACAAUGGGCGAAAGCCUGAUCCAGCAAUGCCGCGUGUGUGAAGAAGGCCUUCGGGUUGUAAAGCACUUUUGUUCGGAAAGAAAUCCUGGACUCUAAUACAGUCGGGGGAUGACGGUACCGGAAGAAUAAGCACCGGCUAACUACGUG